Molecule: ribosomal RNA, 390 nt
Filed under: uncultured bacterium
Lineage: Bacteria
Description: bacterial SSU rRNA
Rfam family: Bacterial small subunit ribosomal RNA
Source: RNAcentral
AUUGAACGCUGGCGGAAUGCUUUACACAUGCAAGUCGAGCGGCAGCGCGGGGGCAACCCUGGCGGCGAGCGGCGAACGGGUGAGUAAUACAUCGGAACGUGUCCUUAAGUGGGGGAUAGCUCGGCGAAAGCCGGAUUAAUACCGCAUAAGCUCUGAGGAGGAAAGCGGGGGCUCCGUAAGGACCUCGCGCUGUUGGAGCGGCCGAUGUCGGAUUAGCUAGUUGGUGGGGUAAAGGCCCACCAAGGCGACGAUCCGUAGCUGGUCUGAGAGGAUGAUCAGCCACACUGGAACUGAGACACGGUCCAGACUCCUACGGGAGGCAGCAGUGGGGUAAUUUUGGACAAGUGGGGGCAACCCUGAUCCAGCCAUUCCGCGUGAGUGAAGAAGGCC